RNAcentral lists this ribosomal RNA (498 nucleotides) under uncultured Wautersiella sp. Its description in RNAcentral is "bacterial SSU rRNA". It matches the Rfam family "Bacterial small subunit ribosomal RNA", at positions 9 to 507 of the family's 1533-position model. Lineage: Bacteria; Pseudomonadati; Bacteroidota; Flavobacteriia; Flavobacteriales; Weeksellaceae. The record is from RNAcentral.
GAGUUUGAUCCUGGCUCAGGAUGAACGCUAGCGGGAGGCUUAACACAUGCAAGCCGAGGGGUAGAGUUAGCUUGCUAACUUGAGACCGGCGCACGGGUGCGUAACGCGUAUGCAACUUGCCCUACUGAAGAGGAUAGCCCAGAGAAAUUUGGAUUAAUACUUUAUAAUAGACUGAAUGGCAUCAUUUAGUUUUGAAAGAUUUAUCGCAGUAGGAUAGGCAUGCGUAAGAUUAGUUAGUUGGUAAGGUAACGGCUUACCAAGACGAUGAUCUUUAGGGGGCCUGAGAGGGUGAACCCCCACACUGGUACUGAGACACGGACCAGACUCCUACGGGAGGCAGCAGUGAGGAAUAUUGGACAAUGGGUGGAAGCCUGAUCCAGCCAUCCCGCGUGUAGGAUGACGGCCUUAUGGGUUGUAAACUACUUUUAUCUGGGGAUAAACCUACUUACGUGUAAGUAGCUGAAGGUACCAGAAGAAUAAGCACCGGCUAACUCCGUG